This 383-nucleotide ribosomal RNA is filed under the name Pseudourostyla cristata. Its description in RNAcentral is "large subunit ribosomal RNA". The stretch from base 1 to 295 matches the Rfam family "Bacterial large subunit ribosomal RNA", at positions 2531 to 2925 of the family's 2925-position model. Lineage: Eukaryota; Ciliophora; Spirotrichea; Urostylida; Pseudourostylidae. The record is from RNAcentral.
GUCGGCUUAUCAUAUCCUGGUUGAGAAUAAUCUUCCAAAGGUCGGUCUGUUCUACCGUUAAAAUGGUACAUGAGCUGGGUUCAAAACGUCGUGAGACAGUUUGGUCCCUAUCUGUUGUUAAAUAUGAAAAAAAAAAAAACUUUGCUUUAGUACGAGAGGACUGAGAUAAAUUAAUCAAUGAUUUGACAAUUAUUAAUGUAUAGUAAGUUGUUAAGUUAAAUUAAGAUCGGAUAAUUAUUGAAAAUCAUUUAAAAUAAGAAGCCUAUUUUUUUUUUUUUCUCAAAAAUAUAUCUAAGAUUAAGAGUUUAAAAUAUUUUUAUAAUGAAAAAAAUGUAAAUUUUUUUUUUUUGAGUUAUAAAAAAUAUAAUAUUUAAAUCUUUAAU